ACCAUUCAGCUGUGGCGGUAUCAUAGCCAAUGAGGUUUAUCUGAAGCAUGAUUAUUGCUAAUUGAAAAGAUUCAGUUUUGGAAGAACUCAGAUUUCAUACACGCCUCUCAUUAAUUCUCCUUGGUACCUCUGCGAAGGG
Molecule: small nuclear RNA, 139 nt
Filed under: Neogale vison (American mink)
Lineage: Eukaryota; Metazoa; Chordata; Mammalia; Carnivora; Mustelidae
Description: Neovison vison (American mink) U4 spliceosomal RNA (ENSNVIG00000014086.1)
Rfam family: U4 spliceosomal RNA (bases 1-73)
About the family: U4 small nuclear RNA (U4 snRNA) is a component of the major U2-dependent spliceosome. The structure of U4 snRNA from yeast and human has been reported.
Source: RNAcentral